This 510-nucleotide ribosomal RNA is filed under the name uncultured bacterium. RNAcentral describes it as "partial 16S ribosomal RNA". It matches the Rfam family "Bacterial small subunit ribosomal RNA", at positions 28 to 507 of the family's 1533-position model. The record is from RNAcentral.
GACGAACGCUGGCGGCGUGCUUAACACAUGCAAGUCGAACGAAGGGCGAUGGAAGCUUGCUUCUAUCAAUCUUAGUGGCGAACGGGUGAGUAACGCGUAAUCAACCUGCCCUUCAGAGGGGGACAACAGUUGGAAACGACUGCUAAUACCGCAUACGAUCUAACCUCGGCAUCGAGGAUAGAUGAAAGGUGGCCUCUACAUGUAAGCUAUCACUGAAGGAGGGGAUUGCGUCUGAUUAGCUAGUUGGAGGGGUAACGGCCCACCAAGGCGAUGAUCAGUAGCCGGUCUGAGAGGAUGAACGGCCACAUUGGGACUGAGACACGGCCCAGACUCCUACGGGAGGCAGCAGUGGGGAAUCUUCCGCAAUGGACGAAAGUCUGACGGAGCAACGCCGCGUGAGUGAUGACGGCCUUCGGGUUGUAAAGCUCUGUUAAUCGGGACGAAAGGCCUUCUUGCGAAUAGUGAGAAGGAUUGACGGUACCGGAAUAGAAAGCCACGGCUAACUACGUG